RNAcentral lists this long non-coding RNA (5192 nucleotides) under Homo sapiens (human). RNAcentral describes it as "HSALNT0215076". Lineage: Eukaryota; Metazoa; Chordata; Mammalia; Primates; Hominidae. The record is from RNAcentral.
CCGCAGCGUUCGCUGAACUCAACCCGCGGGUAGGACGGAGCUCAGACCAGCUGAACCUCUUGUUGGUUUUAUACUGAGUCGACGUCAUCCUGGAUUUAGUUCCUGGUAAUAUGCAGAUGACAAACAGAACCAGAUUUGGCCCUUUCUUUUCCUUUGGGUGGGGGAAGAGGGUUGGGGGGAGGGGGAGAGGUGCCAAGGGGAGGGGGUUACAAGGCCUGAAAAGAGAUUGUGGAUUGCGAAUUAAUGAAAUUAACCUAAUCUUUUCCAUUCGGCAGCCGGGCCGCGGGCCGGCCGAGCUGGGCGGGCGGCCUAAUUGCCUUGGUUAAUCUCAUUAAUUCCUUUGUGCCGCCGCAGUUAACAACUCCCUCCGCCCGAGCUCUCCACCCCCACCCUUUUUUCUCAGAUUGGGUCCUAUUAUUGGGUGCGAUUUCCUCUGCCUGUAGCUCAAAUUCAUUGUGGACGAUUUUACUUUGGGGCUACUUUUUUCCCCCUUUCGGAAUUGGUUUUGUUUUAGAAAAUGUGAGGGGCUGCAUCCCCUCUCAAGCAGGAUUGAAAAUUCCACCACUCCUCCGCGCCCCCACGUACUCACCGCCUGAUUUACCUCUUUUUUAAAUCUUGAGUUUCUCUCCCGAAUGGAACUUGUUAACCCCCCCAAAAAACUUUUGGUUUUGUAAAAUCCAAAUUUUGUAAAGGCAAAAACGACUAAAGGAGGGGUGCAUCGUGCUUCUUAAAAAGAUUUUUUUUUCCAGCCACUCUGGGUCUGAAAACUACCAUGGCAGUCCCUAGGUCCUACACAGCGAAGACCAAAUUCAGCCGCUCUUUAAAAUUCGCCACCAAGAGUUGCAGUCUGAAGCGGUGCUUCUAGCUGCUCCCAGCGUGGGUGUCGGUAGUUUUUGUGCUUUUAAAAAAUUAGUUUUGGAAAUGUGGUGCCUUCUCUCCCAAACUAUUUUUUUGAUUUUCAAUCCAGAUGGGGUCUUUGGGACUUCCCUAUCUUCUUCCCCAAUAAUUGGGUCGCAUUUUUCCUUACGACCUGCUGGCUGCCGGUAGGCCUGCCCUUCCGCCUGGCAGGCCCAGAGUGGAUUCCCUGGGCCGCAGUGGCCUGGACGAUGGCCGGGUCUGAUAGCGGCAGGCGGCCGCGAUGAUUUGCGGGAUUCUCGGCAUGGCACGGCCAGCCUGCCCGAGCCACGGGAGGCGCAGCCAGCCCACCACUCACGGCAAGCAGGCGGCCGAGCGCCCUUCGAGAAGAGACUUAAGUCACCAUGCUCCAGGGCAGAUACUCCCCCACCAAUCUUUCCCAGGUUUAAAGCUACAGGGCAGUUGAUGGACGACAACUAGAGGCUGCAACUUAUCAGUGACUGCCUGCGUUUGUGUUGGAGGCUGGGUGUGCGCUGCGGUGCGCGUGUGAGUGGAUCUUUUAAGACCUUUGUCUGAGCCGGGCAGAGGCACAAGUGCCACCUGACGCUUGGGGCAGAUUCCUCGUCCUGUUCUUGCAAAGAUGCCAAAUCAGGAGAGUGUCAAGAUUUCAACCGCAGACCUAAAAAAAGUGUCUCCAUGUUUUUAAAAGUAUCAGACAACCACCUCCACACACCCCUCCGUCUCCCCUUCCACCUGGAACAUUGUUCUUUUUAAUAACCAGGUUUAGCAAACUGCUAUACUGCGCCUGUGCUUUCCUGCAGCCCUCCGCUGUACCAGCUGAGCCCUGUACAGAAUCUGAGCGUCAGAGUUGCAGACCCAACCUUGCCACCUUGCAAAUCAUCCCUUCUCUGGAGGCCUCAGGAUUUUAGUUGAUCAAACCAACACCAACAUUCAUUGGGUCCCUUUGCAACCCUAACAUUUAAUGAGACUUGGUAAUUGUCAUCCGUUCGCCAAGGAGGUUGGGGAUGAACUUGGGGGCAUUUUCUUGUUUAUUUUUCAUUGAGACAAAGGAGUGUGCUGUCCCCACCUCCGCCCCCAGACAAGGACAGGGUUCCUACAUCAGCUGGGUCUAAAAUAAGGAAAAGCGAGUGCUGCCGCAGAGGGGACUUUCCGGGAAGGGGGUCACAGGAACCCCAAGGCCACACAGCUCCAGACACUCUGCCGGAGCUCUAGGGGAGCUCACCCCUGCGCGGCGGGACCUCCCCCAUCGGGUUGCCCCUUCAAUCUGCAGCCGCGCGGAGGCAGGCCCCGGGAAAGGCAGUCGGCGCUCGGUGCUCGCACUGCGCCUCGGCGGGCGGAAACUCACAAGUGUCCUCAACGUGCUAAACAAACCAUCAGGGCCCCGCAUCGCCUGGCGCAAUUGGAAUAACAAAUGCGACGCACGCAAAUUGUCCACCUCGUGUUGCUAAGCGAUUGUUUGUCGGCCCCGCACGCACAGCUCAGCAUGGGAGGACCGCGAGCGUCCAGAGGCAGCCGGCGAGCGCUUAGGUCGGAAAUGCAGUAAACAUGCCGCUGAUUUUCCCUAUUAUCACCCAAACACGAUUUCACACAAAGCAAUCACCACGCAGAAGUCUAUGAAAAUGUGUUUGUUGAGGAGUCACUCGCCCCAGUAAUAGUCCUCAUUUUUAAGAUAUUAAAGAAUAGCUCAGCGGAUUCCACAUGCAUAAGGUCUAUUUGCCGUUCGGCAUCUGUCACGGCGCUUUUGCACUGCGGUCAUCACUAAAUUGAUUCAUAGAGUGUAGAUUAAAUUGCUUCUCUGAUUUAAAACAGUGUCCAACUUUGGAGUAUGCGUGUGAGUAUCUUCUCCCGCCCCAAGGUAUUUUUGUCAGGGAGAAAACUGUCGCCCCACUAUCCUUACACCCCAUUCCGCAUAACUGUAAAAAAAUAAUGCAUCUUCGACCCCAACUUCUUACGGUUCGUUUCAGGAACUUUCUUAAUUCUCUCCGUCUCCUGCCCGGCCACAGAGCAGAGUUCACAAUCGGAUGCGUUUAAGUCGGAUUUUUCGUGUCAUGUGCAAAAAGCCGGUGUGUCCUUUUCAAGGUACGGAGCCCUCAUCGGAGGGCGCAUUAGCGGGGUCAGAGGAAUUAGGAGCAAUGCGCAGAGCCCCCUGCAGCCCGCGUGCUGCGCCGAGACCUCAGCCGUCCUCACUGAGCGGAAUGGUUGUGUUGUUUGUAUUGGGACUUUUAAAAAAUCCAGUCUCAAAGCUAAGUGCUCAAACCCCGUUCCAUGGCUCUGCUGCUUUCUGGAGGACAUCUCCGGUAGCCCCAGGGGAUUGUCCGUGUGAGGUUGGGUGGGUGGAGUAGAGCCAGAGGCGCAAAUGCCUCCUGGCUAAGGGGCAGCGCGCAUUAGAGCUGGGUCUCCUGCUUUCGGAGCGGAGGGCGUAAGGGAGCUUUCUAGCUGAUUUUUUGCUAGAAGUUUUCCAACGCUCCAAAUAAAAGCACCCGAUCCCCUAAGGACGAAAUAAUCAAGGUGUUAGGGAAGCUCAACAGAAGAGAAGAGACGAGAAGAGAAGAGAAGAGAAGAAGGGGCUAUCGAAAAAUGACGUGUUCCCAAGGCCUUAGAAAAAUAAAUAAAUAAAUAAAUAAAUAAAUAAAUAGCUUGGACUUUCCGGGGUUGCAGAAAUCCGAUUUCAGCCGGGCUAUUUACCAAAAUUUGUUUCAAAAUGACUGCACCUUUGCUUUUGCAAGUCACAGAAUGCAAAUGACGAUAAUUUGUUCUCAGAAGAAGUUUCUCUUGAAAUGAUUAGCAAAGUCAGUCAUUUGAAAAUUAGAACGAAGCCCUUCGCUAACUGAUAUCUGCUUCUAAAGUUUUCAUUCAUGUAAACCUCAUUAAUGAAGAUCUUUUAUUUAAACGUCAAGGGGAUUUGAAAUUUAGAGUAAAUUAUGAAGCUUGUAUGUCUAGCCAAGUCAUGGGUCAAAUGCAUUUGUGAAAAACUGCUAAAGAGCAUAUGGUUUUGAAUUUUUCUACAAUGACUAGUGUUUAAAUAAAUUGCUUGUACUGCUUAACUUCAUGUGUAAUUUUGACAGAAAUUGGCCUAUAGCCUUUUGAUAUGUAAACAUUUCAGCCUUUUAUGCGGUAUAAAAAAGACACUUGCUUUUUAGGAUCAGCCCAGGCAGUCACCCUGUAAUUCAGAAAGCUGGUACCUACCAUUACAAUCUUGCUAGAUUUCAACUUUCAAGUGGCAGCCUCAGGGGGAGAAAAAAAGAAAAGAAAGAAAGGGGAUAUUUCAAAAGCAAUGUCCAUUUGGGAUUAAAAGCUACAAAUGAGGUGAGAACGUGCCACUUACUAUCUGAAAGAAAUGGAUAAACCAUAGUUAUUAAAGAACAUUUCUGUCAGUUUUCUUUAAGCCAGCCCGUCUGAGGGGACACUUAAGCAGGGCUGGGAACUGACUAGCAUGCCAUUAAAUGCUUGUCUUAGGGCCGAGCUAAUCAGUCCAACACACAAAUAGGUGUUAAAAAUCUAGGUAUCAUUUCAGGAUGUUACCAGGGAAAUCGCUCUGUGUCACAGAACCCAUUAAGAUGCAAAACUCAUCCAGGGCACAGAAUGGCUGGACACAAAUGGCUCAUAUGAGCCAUGCACGGGGGUUUUUCUCCGUGGGAACUGCAAAGUCCGUGCAGGGCACAGUUCAGAGCCCUCCCUGGGCUGCCAGGGUUUUUGAAACACAUACAUACCUGCAUAAACCCAUUUGUUGCUAAUAUAUCCGUCUCCCGUAAAUAAGCCAAGGAAUGUGGAUUGGACUGCGGGUCACCAAUGGGGAUUCAAAGCGUCCCAUAAGGUUGCCCUCCCAAGUGCGAGACCGGGCCACACGUUGAUUUCCUGCGUACUCUGGUGGGGCGAGCGCUGCUCCUUCCCAUCUGCUCUCACAGUCUUGCCGUAUUUAUCCUAUGUGUCAGUUUUGUCAUAUACAGACUUUCUGAGAGACGCCACCCCUUUUGUGAAGUUUUGAAGGAACUGGGGAGAAAGAAUGCUCACUUGACAAGGGAGACCAGUUCCUUUGUAAACAGUUGAGCCGCCUGAGCAAAUUGAGAUCCUCUUAAUUAAAAAGAUCAUUCUGGGGCGAAAUCUAAUUAAGAAAAAAAGACACGCUGAGAAAGACAGAAGGAGGUGUUUUGUUUACAUUUCUUAUGCAUUCCAGCUUAUCAUAUUGGUCAGCAAUCUGGGAAGGAAAUGACACAUUUGAUGAUGUAAGAAAAGCAGAAGGCUUUUUUUUUUCUAAGCUUCUACACUUCAGUCUAGCCUUUCAGUACAUUUUGAAAUGAAUAAGGGUACACUUUUCC